UGGUGGAGCGAUUUGUCUGGUUAAUUCCGAUAACUAACGAGACUCUAGCCUGCUAAAUAGUUCACCGAUUGCCUUCUGUCGGUGUUAACUUCUUAGAGGGACAAGUGGCGUUUAGCCACACGAGAUUGAGCAAUAACA
Molecule: ribosomal RNA, 138 nt
Filed under: uncultured eukaryote
Lineage: Eukaryota
Description: partial 18S ribosomal RNA
Rfam family: Eukaryotic small subunit ribosomal RNA
Source: RNAcentral